Molecule: ribosomal RNA, 479 nt
Filed under: uncultured bacterium
Lineage: Bacteria
Description: SSU rRNA
Rfam family: Bacterial small subunit ribosomal RNA
Source: RNAcentral
AGAUUGAACGCUGGCGGCAUGCCUUACACAUGCAAGUCGAACGGCAGCACGGGGGUAACCCUGGUGGCGAGUGGCGAACGGGUGAGUAAUACAUCGGAACGUGUCCUGUAGUGGGGGAUAGCCCGGCGAAAGCCGGAUUAAUACCGCAUACGAUCUACGGAAGAAAGCGGGGGAUCCUUCGGGACCUCGCGCUAUAGGGGCGGCCGAUGGCAGAUUAGCUAGUUGGUGGGGUAAAGGCCUACCAAGGCGACGAUCUGUAGCUGGUCUGAGAGGACGACCAGCCACACUGGGACUGAGACACGGCCCAGACUCCUACGGGAGGCAGCAGUGGGGAAUAUUGCGCAAUGGGCGAAAGCCUGACGCAGCGACGCCGCGUGGGGGAUGAAGGCCUUCGGGUUGUAAACCCCUUUCAGCAGGGACGAAGCGAAAGUGACGGUACCUGCAGAAGAAGCGCCGGCUAACUACGUGCCAGCAGCCGC